UUUCAAGUUGAUCAAAUCCAUUUCAGAAUGUUCCUCAGUUUAUGCAGAAUCACUUUAAAUAAGUGUAAGUAAAAUGUGUUCGUUUUAUCACUGGAUCUGUUUAUUAGGUUUUAAAAGUGCAUUUCCACUAUACCAUCAACAGCAGUAAGGGAAAAAAGGGAGGAGCGGUGACAGAAAAUCUGUUUGACAAAGUAAAUAGUCUCUUUGCACAUGUGUAUAUAUAUGUAUGGGGGUUUAUAUGGCUAAAGUAAUGGUGAUGGCACUGAUGGAACAGACACUUUUUAGCAUUAUAAUGACAAAUCAUAAAAGAUGGCACACUUUAAAAAAAGAUGAUGUUUAUUGGAGACUUGAUUAUUUCCUUCAGCAAUUGGAAAAUUGACUGAGACAAGAGAACCCAGCAAGUGAGGAUCCAAAUUGAAACACUAAGUCAUGUCUACAUGAUAACACCAUGAAGUCAUCUGUGACUUUAUGAUGGAAGAGCAAACAGUAUUGCAUCCACUCUGCCAUAAAAAGUAAUAAUUUCUGGAAGACUACAGCAGAGUAAAAAUUCCAGGCCGUGGACUGAAUUCAAACUGCUCCUGAGAGGAAACUUCUGAGAGUGCCAAAUCCAGUCAGGCCUCCAUAUGAUUGACAAGGAUGCCAUUGCCACCAAAGAGAAGUGCAAGACCUGGCAUGAUCACUCAGCAGAGGUGCUCAGAGACACCCAGAGAGUCAAUGGCGAAGGUGCUGCUGAGAGCUGGGAUUGAAGGCAAGGAAGAGUCAGCUGCUUCAGUGGGUCUCAAGCCUGGUGGUAAUUGUCUUGUCUUUGUCCUUACUGAGUACAGCUGGGUGACAUCUUUCAGUCAGAUCCUGUUUCCCUGAAAAAUACAGAUUGUGGUUGGUGGAAUUGUUCAGCAAAUUUCUGUCAGUCUUGGUGAACUGUUAGAGUUGAUAAAUCCUGGUGUGUG
Molecule: long non-coding RNA, 947 nt
Filed under: Apteryx owenii (little spotted kiwi)
Lineage: Eukaryota; Metazoa; Chordata; Aves; Apterygiformes; Apterygidae
Description: lncRNA (ENSAOWG00000005305.1)
Source: RNAcentral